Long non-coding RNA from Triticum dicoccoides, 210 nucleotides. RefSeq lists it as uncharacterized. Lineage: Eukaryota; Viridiplantae; Streptophyta; Magnoliopsida; Poales; Poaceae. The record is from RefSeq and is a predicted model, not a curated record. The transcript has 3 exons.
GGUGGGUUACCUCCCAGGAGCAGAUGACUGGCAUGGUUAGUGAUCACUAGGCCAUGAAUCUCAUGGAUCGCAUGAUACAGUAUUUUUACGGUGCAGGUAUCUGGUCCAGAUCCGACGGAGACAAGCAAAAUCGUGUCGCUGCUUCUUCUUUUGAUUGAAAAUCCAGGUGAAAUCUUUCAGGAACUCAGGACGACACGCAUUGAUUAUAUU